GGAGUGUGUGUAUAUGUGUGUGUGUGUGUGUAUAAUUGUGAUUUAGGUGAAAGUUUACAGAGAAAAUUAGUUUAUCACUAAACAGUUAAUACACUAAUUGCUUUGUGACACUGGCUGAGAAUUUGCAUUUCCACCUCAGAUAUAUUGAAUCAGAACGUACAGUACAUUUUAACAAGAUCCCCAGGUGUCUGUUAUGUAUAAUUUCCUGGGAACUUCUUAGAAAGACAAAUUCCCAGCAGGGUUCAAACCAGAAUGAACCAAGUCAAAGCCCUAGUUAGAACUUGCAGCUUCAGUGGAGUACUCCUGGAAGCUUCUAGGGCCACUCAGUCUGUAGUCUUGAAAAGAGGAUGUCACAAAAAAACAGAUUUUUAUCAUAUACUAGCCGAGUGAGCAUUUUAAGUAAGUAUACUUUCCAGAUUAGCUUGCAUUACUUUUCAUUAUUAAUUUUCAGUUGUAAGAAUCAAACAUGAACACAUUCUCCUUAGGAAAAUAAGUACAUUACAGAUAAAUAUCGAGUCUUCUUUGUCAGUCCCCUGAUCCAGUUGCCUCUCCUCCCCACCUCCCCACCUCCUCACCUCCUCAUUCCCUGUUUUGAGUUUGGAGUAAAUCUUGCCAGAUCAUAAAAUUUAUAUAAACACACAUGUGUUUGUUUUUACAAAAAUUAUACUCUCCCACAAUAUCAUUUACUUUUUUCAUUCCUUCUUGUUCCCCCCUCCCCAACCAUCUCACCCAGUUUUUAUUUUAUUUUAUUGCGGUAAAAUAUAGAUGAAAAAGGUUGCCAUUUUAGCCAUUUUUAAGUGUACAUUUCCAUGACAUUAAUUACAUUCACCAUGUUGGGCUACCAUCGUCACCAUCCAUUUCCAAAAGUUUUUCAUUACCCCAAACAGAAACUCAGUGCCCCUUCAGCAACAACUUCCAUCCCCUGCUCCCCCAGCCCCUGGGAACUACUAAUAAACUUUUAUCUCUAUGCCUUUGUCUCAUCCAGUUUUUAGAUGCCUGUUCAUACAUGCAGAUCUAGUUCAUUCUUAGCUAUUGAGUGAAAAGACCUCAUUUCACUUAUCUGUUUUCCUACUGAUGGCCUUUAGGUUGUUCCCAGAUUUUCGUUUUUAUAAACAAUGCUGCAGUGAACAUCUCCUACCUGUUUGUGCCAGAGUGUGUUUUUCUAGGGCGGGCACCCAAGAGGGGAAAUGCUGGGUCCUAUGAUCUGCACAGUUUUAGUCUUAGAGACUCUGGCAAAUUGCUCACCAAAGUGACUGUGCCAAUUUAUACUUCCUGCAGUAAUGAAAAUGCCUGUUUGCCUUAAACCUUGCCAAAGUGUCCUAUUUUCCUACUCAGAGGAGCUGCUCAGUGCUGAUUGCACUGGGAGAGUUCCUGAGAAAUUGAGGUCACGUGCAGCCUCUCCCUCUGCAGUGAGGAAGAGUCUCUGGUUUCAGCCAGGCCAUUGAUCUAGAGAGUCACUGGGCUCAUCCAGUAUACAAACUGCUUGCCUCUUCACAAUAUUACUGUGUGAAGGCAAGAAGUAAUUGCCCCUGAUAGUCAAUGCAAGGAGCCCUGGUGGUGCAGUGGUUAAAAGCACUCCACUGCCAACCAGAAGUUCGGCACUUUGAACCCAUCAGCUGCUCUGAAAGAUGUGGCAGUCUGCUUCCGUAAAGAAUGUACAGCCUUGGAAACCCUAUGGGGCAGUACUACUCUGUCCUAUAGGGUUGCUAUGAGCUGGAAUCGACUCGAUGGCAGUGGGUUUGGUGUUUUGUUUGUUCGUUUUAGUCAAUGCGAAAUAGGUUGCAGCUACACUAUGGGGACCAGGGCAGAGGAUGGAUGGAACUCAGGGGCUCCCCUGGGUAACGGUUAAUGGGAGAUAAUUAACUAACAAGGGCAUAGACCUUCUGGGAUUAAAGUUUGGGACACCUCACACCAGCAAAGUAAGAGGGAUUAGGAUUGUAUAAUGGAGGAGGGAAAACUGAUGACCACUUGCAAAAAUGAAGACUGUUGCCUACACUCAAAGUUUCUUCCUUGUAAAUAUGUAUAUUUAUAUAUUUUAAUGAAUUUCUCCUCUCUUUGACUGCUUUGUCCCCAAUAUAGAUGAAGAUGGUUAAACUUGCUAUUUAGCCCAUAAAAAACCUGUUGCCGUCAAGUGGAUUCUGACUCACAGUGACCCUAUAGGAUAGAGUAGAACUGCCCCACAGUACUUCCAAGGAGCGGCUGGUGGAUUCAAACUGCCAACUUUUUGGUUAGCAGCCAAGGUCUUAAUCACUGUACCACCAGGUCUCCAUUUAGCCCAUAGGCUGUAGAAUUAUGAUGAAAUCAGAAGAGAUACAGAUCUUGGAGCUGGAUGCAGAAACUGAGGAAACAUUGGGGUGUCUCUCUUUGGGGAAUGUGUGAGUACGUUUUCUGUUGUAUGGGAAAAAUCACAUUAUUUUGGGCAACAGAAUUUUCGGAAGUGUAUACAGGUAGUCCGUGACUUACAACAGGGCUCUGUUCCAACAACUCUGUCUUAAGUCAGAUCAGACAUAAGUUGAAUACCUCGUUUAAAAAAUUUUUUUCAUUAUUAUUGUCUUUUAUUAUCAGUAUCUUUAUAAAUCUAAUCUUUAUUUGUCUUUGGGGGUUAAAUUCACAUACAUAUUUUAAUACAUACAUACAUAUAAAAUACACAAAUCAUAAAAAUUUACUGCAAUGAUGAAGAGUCGGAUGAUGUUGGCAUUUUGCCAGUUGCAGUAAUAGCUCCAACUUGUGGAAGGUUCGGAUUACCCCUGUGAAUAGGGAUGGAGUUUCUAGUCAGAAAAUUACUGAGACUUGUCUGUAAGGUCCUUUUCUUUUUUUCUUCAUAUAUUUUUCGGUAACAUCUCACUGCUUUCUGAAUUUGCCUCUCCACUUUAGCAAAGCGAUCAGUGUUUGGGUCGUUGUGUUCAAGCAACUGAAGCCCCUGAUGUAGUUUAGAAAACUAAAUCUAUACUGCAAUGUUUUGAACAGUAAAUCGAAAAAUUAAACAUCUACAAGUGAAUAUCUGAGAAAUACAACAUCAGUAAAUUACACACUGCAGCAUUGUAUGUAGUACAUAUUACUAACAAUAAGAUGUCCAAAACAACAAUGGAGGGUCCUAAGUACAGUUCACUGUAACUUGAAUACGUCGUAAGUUGGAAACUACCUGUAUAUGGGAAGAAGGGUUAUGUGAAUGAUGAGCAACCAAAGGGAUGGACUGUUUGGGGGAAGUGUAGCACCCAACACUUACUUAUCCUUCCUAACAGCACACAAAAUUAGACUGGGAAAUUCCCUUGGUGUGUACAAUCUUGGUGGAAGGAUAUAUUAAGGAGGUGGCAGAACUCCUGCUACAGAAACUAAAGAGGCCCCUGAAGGCUCCAUCUGCCAGAUACCUCCUUUCACCAUUUCGAUAGAGCCAAGGUGCCAGCAUGUGGCCUAAGCUAUGUGAGGGUGACUCAGUUUUCUGGAACUUUCAAUCCUUUACUCCUAAAUGGAGUGAAACAAGUCUGUUAAUCAUUUAUCCCAGUGGCAGUGCUGGGAAAGACUGUCAAACAACUCCAGCUAUAGAGAUUCUCUGGAACACCUUGAUUCUUUCUGCUCUGUUCCGUUGGACGAAUACCUUAGAAUUUAUUUAUCCAUUCUCUAUUGACAUCUGGGGCUAUCACAAAUACUGCUACUAUGAACAAUCUUGCACUUUUCUUUUGGUGCACAUAUUCAAACAUUCCUCUUGGGCAUACCCAGGAAUAAAAUUGCUGGGUCAUAGUGGUAAUAGAUUACAUCAUGCGUCUUUGACUUAUCAAAGUCAAAUGUUAAUUGGUACUUUUGUCUACUUCUCAGACAAUGCAGGGACCUUAGAACAUUCUAUUUAUACUCCCUCCUGACUUAUACGCCACUGUAAUCAUGUAUAUUAAAUCUCUGUUAUGAAUUGAAUUAUGUGCCCCAAAUAUGUCUUGGAAUCUCAACCCCUAUACCUGUGGAUGUAAUCUAAACUAAUGUAAUGUGAUCGCCUUCUAUAAUGCAAUCUAAUGUAAUUUAAGCAAUCAGUCAGUUGAGGUCAUAUCAGUGUGGGGUGGAUCCUAAACCUAAUUGCUUCUGAGUUACAAAAAGAGCAAAUUAGACACAGAGGCACGCAAACACAUGAGGGAAGACAGGUGCCAUGUGAAGAUUGCCAAGGAACCAAGGCUACCUACAAGGAAGGAAUCAACACUGCAGAGACUCUGAUUUGGACUUUCAGUCUCUAAAACUGUAAAAAAAUUAAUUUCUGUUCUUUAAAGCCACCCACUUGUAAUAUUUCUGUUACAGCAGUACUAGGAAACUAAGACAACAACCUCAUAAGACAUUAUUAUUAUUGUGUUGUACAAUUAAUUUAGAAUUCUACAUAUUUAUCCUUUCACUUGCUCUUCAUUGCUUCUUGUAUCUCCAAACUACCAUCUGGGAUUAUUUUCCUUCUGCCUGAAUGACACCCUUCAGUAUUUCUUUUAAGAAAAUUCCGCUGGUGAUGAAUUUCUUUUGUCUAAAAAUAUUUUCAUUUUACCUUCAUUUUUGAAGGAUAUUUUUAUGAAAUAUGUAAUUUGGGAUAGGCAGUUAUUUUCUCUCAGCACUUUAAAGCUAUCAUUUCAUUGUCUUCUGACUUAUUCUGUUGCUCUGUUGAAAAAUUAACUGUCAGUCUUAUUAUUACUCAUUUGAAAAUGAUUUUUCUCUUUUCAUGUCUUCUUUGAAGAUUUAUUUCUUUAUCUUUUGCUUUCAGCAGUUUGACUAUGAUGCACCUAGGUGUGGUUUUCUUUGUAUUUAUCCUGCUUCAGAUUCUUAGUGAUUCUUGUGGCUUCUAAGUUUCAUUAGCUUUGAAAAAUUGUCAGCCAUUAUCUCUUCAAGUAUUGCUUCUGUCCCAUUUUGCCUCUUCUUUCCUUCUGGGACUCCAGUUACCCUUUUGUUAAAUCUUUUCAUUGUAAUACAUAUGUCUCUUGCACUAUUUUCUGUAUUUUCCAUUUUUUGUUUUCUGUACUUCAUCAUGCAUUUUUUUCUCCCAGCCUAUCUUCCAGUUCACCAGUUAUCUCUUUAGUGCUGUUAAGCCCAUCAAUCCAAGUUAUUAAUUUCAGUUACUGUAUUUUUCUGUUCUAGAUUCCCGUUUGAGUAUUAUCAUAGCUUUGAAUUUUCUGCCAAAAUUCUUAAUCUUUUCUUUUAAUUAUUUGAGCAUAUUAGCCAUAGUUAUUUUAAAAUUAGAACCUGGUAACUUUAUUAUCUAGAUCUCUUGUGAUUCUGCUUCUAUCAUAUGGUUUUCUUCUCUUGAUUUUUAUUUCACAUUUAUUCUUGUAGGUUACUGAGUAUACAUUUUUAAGUUGGCUGUUAUUUUCUUUCACCUCAUUAAAAUUAACUUCCCAUUGUCUUCUGGCCUCCGCCCCCCCCCCCUUUUUCUUUGGUGAUCUAGUUAUUGAAAAGUCAGCUGUCAGUCUGUUUCUUUUUGGAGAUUUUUCCUGCAAUUUCAAUAUGAUGUAUUAGGUGUGGAUUUGUUUCUUUAUCUUUUCUUUUUUUUUUAAUUCUGCCUGAAAUGCAUUGAGCUUCUUGAACCUAAGAAUUAAUGUCUUUCAUGUCAGCUUGUAUUACUUGAAAAUAUUGCCUCUCUCUUUUCCUUCUGGAACUCCAGUUAGACAUAUGGCAAACUUCUCACGUCAUUUUCUAUGCUAACUUUUCUUUUCAUCUCUAUGAUAAAGUCUGGAUAACGUUUUCUGAAUCAUUUUCCAAUCAGCUCAUUCGUUCGUCAUCUCUAUUUUGUUUGCUGUUAAACCUACCCAUUGGAUUUUUAACUUCGGUUACUGUUUUUUAUUUCGAGAAGUUCUGUUCAACUCUUUUAGAAAUAAAGGUUUUUUUUUUAAAUAGUUUUAGAUUUACUGAAAAGUUGCAAAGAUAGUACAGAGUUCUCAUAUACCCCACAUCCAGUUUCCCUUAUUGUUAACUUUUUACAUUAGUAUGGUAGAUUUUUCACAACUAAUGAACCAAUGCUAAUAAAUUAUUAUUAGUUAAACUCCAUACUUUAUUCAUAUUUCAUUAGUUUUUCUCUAAUAUCCUUUUUCUGCUCCAGGAUCCCAUCCAGGGUACCACAUUACAUUUUAGUUGUUAUGUCUCCUCAGGCUCCUCUAGGUUGUAACAGUUCCUCAGAUUUUCCUUAUUUUUGAUAACUUCGACAGUUUUGAGGAAUACUGGCCAGGUAUUUUGUAGAAUAUUCCUCAAGUUGUGUUUGUCUGUUGUUUGCCUCAUGAUUUUUUGGGAAGAAGACCACAAAAGUGAAGUGCCCUUCUCAUCACAUCAUAUGAAGGAUACAUGCUAUCAACAUGACUUAUCACUAAUGAUAUGUAAAAAUGGCAUGGCGGGGUGGUGCCUGACUUCCUCUAACUUCGAAAGGGGGAAGGAGAAUCAUAAUCAACAUCAACAGCUCAAGGCUGAUUCCUAUGAGGUGGAGGUCAGACAUGCCUCCACCCUCCAACACCAUCCACCCCUCCCACGGCACUCUUCUCUGUUGGGUUCAAUAAUUUGUUGCAAUGGCCACACAGAACUCACAGACCAUACUCAUGAUUAUGGGGUUUAUUAGGGAAGUAACAGGUUACAAUUCAGGAUAAGGAACAACUCAGGAUGUAGUUCUUCCAUCAGAACAGCCUCUUCUCUGUCGUGCUCACAGGCAGGCCUCUCUCUGGCCCUCGGUCACUCAGCCUGGCCUCUGCCUUUCUUGGACAAGUGUUACAAAGCUCUUUAGCUCUGCCAGUAAUUGCCCAGGGGCCCCUCCACUCCACCAGGAAGCCUUGGCCUGAAGGCGUUCAGCUCUCUCACUCCAUAGGCCGGGAAGGCUAAUUAAUGUUCAGUCUCCUGCUAGUCUCCUGGUUCUGCUGCCUGUACUGCUGCUGCUUCUUGCUCUUGCUACUGCUGCGCCACUGUCUCUGUCUUCUGUGUUACAGCUCUUCUUUCUCUCUCUCUCUGUGUCUCCCUUUAAGCCUAGUGGGAUGGCAGAACUGAUCAAUCCCCUCGUUAGGGUUCCAUACACAUUAUUUGCAUGGUCACACCCCCACAAGGGUGCCAUACACCUUAUUUACAUUAUUAACAAGGUAUCCAGUCCCCUUGGUGGGCCACAAGCACCUCAUUUGCAUAUCCUCACCCAGUCAUUUGGUGGGAGUUAUAAGACCACGGCGAGAAAGGCCAUGUAAAAGCAAUCCAUUGUACCACAUGGUGUUAACCUUUAUCACCUGGCUGAGACAGUGCUUACUAGGUUCCUCCACUGUAAACUUACUUUUCCACCCCUUUCAAUACUGUACUCCUUGGAAGAUAGUCUCUAAGCACAGCCUACACUUUAAGGGUAGAGAAUUAUACUUUGCCUCCUUGAGGGGGAGUCUACAUAAAUGACUUGGAAUUCUUCUGUACUGGAGAUUUAUAUAUUCUCCAUUUAUUUAUUUUUUCAAUUGUAUAUGUCAGUAUAUAUCAGUAUAGACUCAUGGAUAUUUAUUUUAUACUUUAAGUUAUAAUCCAAUACAUUAUUUAUUUUGUUGCUCUUGCUCAAAUUGAUCUAGGUUUGGCCAUGGGUAGCACCUUCAGGUUGCCCCCUGUAUCCCUUUAACAUACCCCCAUCUUUUUUUCCCCUUGUUUUGAGCACUUUCUUACUUUCUGACAUUACAAGAUGCUCCAUGCUCAUCUUGUAUAUUUCCUGCCCCAGCUCUAGAAUCAGCCACUUCUCCAAGGAGCCCUGGUUCCUUCUAUUAGAGAAUGGAAUUGAAAACCAAGAAGGGUAACUUUUUAUAGUUUUCUCUUUUUGCAUAUAUUUUUGAUUAUGUCUUUUAUCUCUUUAAAUGAAGUAAUCAUGUAAUAAUCUCUGUCUAAAGUUUUGGUAAGUGUGUUUCUGAUGUCUGCUGUUUUAACUGGCUUCUACUCAUGGUACCUUGUUUUCCUAAAUGUGUUGUUAUUUUUUACUUUAUACUGCUCACUGUACUUGAAAAAUUAUUUUGAAUGUAACCAUUUUUUUUUUCUGGUUUCUGUCACCACUGAUUGGAGCCUCUGGGUGGUGCAAACGAUUAAGUGCUCAACUACUAACUGAAAGUUGGUGGUUUGAACACAUUCAGAGGUGCCUCAGAAGAAAGGCCUGGCAAUCUGCUUUUGCACAGUUGCAACCUUGAAAACUCUAUGAAGUGCAGUUCUGCUCUGAACACAUGGAGUUGUCAUGAGUUGGAACUGACUCAAAAGCAACAGGUUUGUUUUUUUUUGGCUUUACCACACUGAUUAGUUUUUCCUGUUUUUGAAUAUUAUAUAAAUGGAAUUAAUACCAAACAUGUAUGUGUCUGGCUUCCUUUGCUGUGUCUAUGAAAUUCGUUUUUGUUGUAUACAUAACUUGUUUGUCCUUUUAUAUUGCAGUGUAACACUCUAUAGGAUGGACAGAUCACAAUUUAUAUAUCUAUUCUCCUCUUUAUAGACAUUUGGGUUGUUUCCGGAGCCCUGGUGGCAUGAUUAAGCGCUUGGCUGCUAAUUGAAAGAUCAGCAUUUGGAAUCCACCAGCCACUCCACUGGAGAAAGAUGUGGCAGUCUGCUUCCAUAAAGAUUACAGCCUUGAAAACCCUAUGGGGCAGUUCUACUCUGUUCUAUAGCAUCGCUGUGGGUCAGAAUCGACUCCACGGCAACAGGUGUACAACAAGGUGGAUUGACACAGCGGCUGCAACAAUGAGCUCAAGCAUAACAACGAUUGGUGGCAGUUCAACACCUGGAACCCACCAGGAAUUAAAGGAUCAGCCCAAAUCUUGGGCUCCUCUGCAUAUAAACUGGUUGUAAGGGGCAAACAGAAAACACAUCAAAAGGGUGUGAAGAUGCACAUUCCCUGGGAGAAAACUUGAAUCCUCUAGUGAAUACAUUUUGGGGUGUCCACCUAGCUGCAAAAAUGGACUCAAACAUACCAGCAAUCAUGAAGAUGAUGCAGGACUGGGCAAGUUUUGUUCCAUUAUAUAUAAGGUUACCAUGAGUCAGAGCCGACUUGAUGGCAACUAACAACAACCUAGCCAAAAAAGCCAGUGAUUACCCCUGUCACCAAGAAUUGUCUCUCCAAACUCCCUCUUCACCCACCUCAUUUUUCAAGAUGAGAACCCGUGCAGGUGGAGUUUGUACGUGUAUUCCCAACUCACUGGCCACAGAUAAUUGUCUUGGGUUGGAACCUAAUCCAAGCCAGAUCAAUCAGAACCUCCUUCCCAGGAAAUUGGGAGGUUCAGUUCUAUGAGGUUCUAGCUCCAUCUGGGUCCUAGGAGAGAGAAGAUGUACAAACUCAGAAACUGUGAGUGAUAGGUGAGCAGGAAGUUGAUCUGCAGAGAAAGAAAAAAGAGUAUUUGUGCAGAGAAAAGCAGAAGUGAGAGUAUUCCUCAAGCUUCCCAACAACUUGUGUUUCCAGAUUCCAGUCCCUUUCUACGUCUCCACUGCUUGCCUGCCAGUAGGUUCCAUCAGGCAAGCCAGCAACUUUAAAAUGAAUUCUUGUUUCGGUUAAGUUAGCUUUAAGUUGGUUUCUGUACUUGUAACUAGAGCCCUAAAUGAUACAUAUUAAGAAAAUGACGUGAGCGAUAAAUGUAUCAGCAACUGCUAAAGGACACAUUAAGUAAAAGCUGACAUCCCUUUUAUCAAAAGCUAUGUUGUUGUUGGGUAUCACUGAGUCCAACUCCUGGUGACCCCAUGUGACAGAGUAGAACUGCCAUAAGGUUUUCUAGGCUGUAAUCUUUACAAAAGCAGAUCACCAGGUCUUUUUCCCACAGAGUGGCUUGGUGGGUUCACACUACCAACCUUUUGGUUACCAACUGAAUGCUUAGCCAUUGUGCCACCAGGGCUCCUUAUCAAAAGCUAUAAUCAACCCUUAAUUAUUCAGAGUUGAGUGGUCUCAGAAAUGUAUGAUCCAGAAUGUUCCUUCUGUUCCUCUUCCCAGCCAUUCAUUCAUUAAUUCAACAAUCAUUUGAUGUUUUCCUACUAUGUGCCAGGUAUUCUAUUAGGGGCUGGGGAUGCAACAGUGAAUAAGACAAGGUCCUUUUCCUCAUGGAGCUUCAAUUCCAGUGGGAGAGAUAGAAAACAAACAGGUAAAUUAAAUAAAAAAAAAACAGGUAAAUUAAAUAAGCCCAGAGUUAGAUCACUACUAGGAAGGAAAUAAAUAGGAUGCUGUGACACAGAUAAAAUAGCCAGGGAGGCCUCUUUGGAGAGGGGACACUUAAAAUGAGACUGGAAGGAUCAGAGGGAGCCAGCUAUGUAAGGAGCCAGGGAAGUGAUGUUGCAGGCUACAGGAGCAGGCCCUGAGUGGGGGAGAACCCGUCCUGCUCCAGAAAUGGGCAGAACACCAGUGUGACUGGAGACUGCUGAGGGAGGGGGAAGGGGGCAGAAGCUAAGGAUGAGACACAGGCAGCAGCAGCCAGAUCAUGGAGAGCCUUGUAGGCCAUGGUGAGGAGUUUGGAUUUUACUCAACAUCAGAAGCUAUUGAAACCACCAUAAGGAAAGUUUACCCGGGCUGUUGGCUGUGGGAAGUCUUCAAUGAGGAAAAAGCAGAAGGAAACAGAGGCUACUUCAGUUGGGAGGCAAUUGCAGGUAUCAAGGUAGGAGGUGAUAGUAGCUUAGAACAUUGAGGUAGCCGUGGGGACCGUGAGAAACGAGUGAAUUCAAGAUAUGUUUUGGAGGUUGAGCUGAUUGAAUGUGAGGGUGAGGGAAAGGGAUUAGGUGCAUGGGAUGAGGGAAAGGAAAGAAUCCGGGACGAGUCCAAGUUAUUGGCUUAGUAAGAAGGUAGACUCUAGGGUCAUUUCCUGAAAUGGAAAAUACUGGACAAAGACCAUUUGGCCUCUUACGGCUCACAUUUUGGCGAUUUCCCCCGCUGUCAUUUGAGGAAGGAAAGGGAGAAGCAUAACUCACUCAAGCUGGGGAUUAAUGUAUGUGUUCUAGAAACCAGUCCUCCCGGGGCAGCCUGACCUGGCCAGGAAGGGUUUUGGUCUCUAAAAGACUGUGUGGGCUGAAAAUUAGGUUUGCAUCCCCCUGUGCUGAGAGAUAGAAAGAGAAAGAGAAAGAGAGCGUGAGCACAGGAGUGAGUGUGAAGCUUGCCAAAGAUGAUUUGUCGUGGGUUAAUUUAUCUCUGAUAGAAGGACAAAUCCUACCGAAAAGGCAGGCAAUGAUAAAAUGACUUAUUGCAAUGCAUAUAAUCGCAAUAUGUGUGCCCCAGACACAGUGCAUUGGUUUCAAAGGAUGGUUGUAGCUGUGAUUUUCUUAAAGCAGUGGUUCUAAUCCUGGCUGCACAUUAGAAUCUCCCGGAGAGCAUCUGAGAUACACCAAUGGCCCAGGAUUCACUCCAGAUGAAUAAAUCAAAAUCUUUGGGGGUAGAGCUCAGUUACCAGUAUUUCCUUCAAAGCUCUCUUCAGGUUAUUCCAAUGUAUAGCAACGAUUUGCAAGUCAUUGGUAAAAAGCCAUUUAAACACAGACCUCAUGGGGAAAAAAAAUGGCCAUUUUGGUAAGCUGUUAGUCUUAAAGCAAUGAUUGUAAUCCAAGCACUUCCUUGCACCAAGAUAAGGCACAAUUAGUCUUGAUUUUCCUGAGUGCAUUUUUAUACCACAAGUUAUUAAAUGUGUCCAUCAUUCAAUACCGGUAUCUUAGUUCCUAGUGUUGCUGUAACAGAAAUGCCACAGGUGGAUGGGUUUAAAGGACAGAAAUGUAUUUUCUCAUAGUUCAUCGGGGUAGAAGUCUGAAUUCAGGGCACCAGCUCUCUCUGUUGGCUCUGGGGAGCGAUCCAUGUCUCUUCCAGCUUUCCUUGGUUCCUUGGUGAUCUUCACCUGGCGUGGCAUCUACCCCCACCCCACCCCCUUUGUGGUUGCCUGUUUCUGGGCUUAAUCUGCUCUUUUUAUAUCUUAAAAGUGAUUAGGUUUAAAGGCACAGCUUACACAGAUAUGACAUCAUUAACAUAACAAAGAAAACUUUAUUCCCAAAUAGGAUUCCUUGCACUGAUAUAGAGGUCAGGACUCUAGCACAAAUCAACCCGUAACAGCCAGCUCUGCAGAAGGAAAUCUCCCCAAAGCAAAACCCACCAGCCAAUUCAUGUCUAUACUAUCGAUUGAUCGCCGACUUAGUGUAUUACUUCCUAGCUGAGCGAUUCUGCUGGAGAUAGAACCAUACCCAACAUGAACAAUUUACUAGCGUGUCUCACCACUACGUCAAAUGGAAAGCUCCUGGUCAGCCUCAGUUUGGAGCCCUCAGUUGCUUACAAAACAAGCUUGUUUCCAUGGUAGAGUGUUUCACACGGCUUGGCUUAGGUCAAAACCAUGUUAGUGGGAAUCCUGCCACAGCUGAGCUAUGGAAUUUCCUGAUUAAGGAAAUGAGAGGAAGUAAGUCAUUAACUACCACCUACACACAGUACACCAACUUGGAAAGCUCGCUCUUUUUUUUUUUUUCAGAAGAAUUAAAAACAGAAGAUGCUGCUGUUACAAUUCUCUGAAAUAAGAUGACAAAAUCAAGGAUGAAAAUUUAACAGCUGUUUUGGAACUGCUUCUGGGAAUAAACAAAAAGCUGCCUAUGGUUUCGCCACAGUUAAAAAGCACAGAUUCUCUGUGAUUCACACACAAUCUAUAGCAUGCAAGCCGAGCCAAAGAAAUUAUGCAAAGAAAAGACAAUGAAAUAAGAGGAGGCUUAAUCAUCUUGACGGUUGCAGUUGUAAUUAAAUGUGAACUUGAGAAAACGAUUGCUUCACUCUGGUAAGAGGGCCAGGGGCUUAGGGGAAGGCUAAGCAAGUGGACCAAACGUUGUUGCUAAAUUUUCCCCCCUAUUCAAAGAAUUCAAACUUGAACCUACUAUUAAUAUCUAUAAAAUAUGAGAAAAUAAUAUUAUUUUUAUAGCUGGUAUGAAAAUUCCUCUUAGAAGAUGCCAGUUCUUUUCCUCCCUCCCUCCCUUCCUUCCUAAUUUUUUAAUAAGUCUGCUUAGAGUAGUAGCUGAGAGAGACCUCACGGGGCCUAAGUGUGAGCAGAAUUGCCAGGCAGGAGACAGGGAAAGGAAUUUGUGUUUUAACCAGAGAGGGUGGGGAAAGAGAGAAGUAAAAAGAGGAACAAGAUGGCUGAAGACUGUGGGAUGUACUGGGUAACUCUUACAUCUUUAGUUAAGCUCUAAACUCAUAAAAUGCUUGUGGUGGGGGUAGGGGAUCUUGUGCAGCUUUACCCUUGUGUAAAGGGCCUGAAUUUUCACAAGGAAAGAAAUGAAGAACAUAUACAGAGGCAACAAAUCACGACCAUGAGGCAGAGAGUUAGGAAUUUGCAAAAAUUGUGGGGAGGGCCGUGGAGUUUCAGCCAAGUUUACCUUAACCUCUGAAGGCCAGCGAGGCUUCAUCUGGAUUAUAUUUGCAAAGGUUUGGGAGAAGUUUUGCAUUUAUGCUACAUGGCAGCGAAGCCGUGCAGUGGAUUUUCCACUGAGUGCUGUGUACUGUGUUCUUGGAGUCGUGUUGUUGUUAGUUCCAUGGAGGUGGCUCCAAUUCAUGGUGACCUUAUGUAUAACAGAAUGAAACGUUGCCUGGUCCUGUGCCGUCUUACCUUCCAGCACUAUAUCAGAUAAUAUUCUGUUGUGAUUCAUAGGAUUUUCAUUGGCUGAUUUUUCGGAAGUAGAUCAAUAGGCAUUUCUUCCUAGUCUGUCUUAGUCUGGAAGUUCCGCUGAAGCCUGUCCACCAUGGGUGACCCUGCUGGUAUUUGAAAUACUGGUGGCAUAGCUUUCAGUAUCAUAGCAACAUGUAAGCUAGCACAGUGCCAAAAACUGACAGAUGGGUGGCUUUGAAUCAUACCUGGAAUGAUAACCAAGUUUCUACGGGGUACCUGAUGCACAUUUUCCAAUUUUGAUGUAUUAGGCAUCAAUCCAAUAGGUGAGACAAUAUCUAUCAUCUAACCAACCACUGGAAACCCUGGUGGCAUAGUGGUUGCAAGCUACGUCUGCUGACCAAAUGGUCAGCAGUUCAAAUCCACGAGGUGCUCUUUGGAAACCUAUGGAGCAGUUCUACUCCAUCCUAUAGGGUCGCUGUGAGUCAGAAUCAACUCAAUGGCAACGGGCUUGGUUUUUAACCAACCACCAUCAGCCCAUCCAUCCAUUAACUCAGCAAGCAUAUUGAGCACUUUCUGUUCAAGGCUCUCUAUUAGGCACUUGGGGGGUUGGUAAACAAAUAUGAAUAAGAAUAGAUCCUGAUCUUGAAAGCUUAGUCUAGUAAGCCUCAGAUAACUUUUACCGAAAUAGCUAGGUACCAGGCAGAAAGAAGUAAAGGCCACAAUAAAGGUAUGAUAAGGUGCUUUGAAAGCUCAGAUGGAGAAGGGUUGGCUUAAAGUUGGUGGGAGUGCAGGAGAGGAAGCAGCAGUUCAGAAAAGGUUUUAUGGAGGUGGCAACAUUUGCAAUGGAUCUUCGGAAAAAAAUAUGAUUUUGACAUUCGGGGACAGUGGUAGACAUGGAGUAGAGGAAGGCAUCGAGGAAGAAAAUCAUGAGCCACCUAAUACAAGCGACCAAGUUGAGUACCUGGAGUGACAGUGGGCCCCAGGACUGCUGCUAGCCAUUAUGAUGCCUUUGUGCAGAGUAGAAAAAGGCGCCCCCUGCUCCAGAGUGCAUGACAUGGCCAGCAGAGUGUGGCUGGAGUUCAGUCCUCACCCACCUCCUCAGCUGGGGACAUUUUUUGCAGUUCACGUUCUCCACUGCGGAAUGGGCUGUCCUAGGUGCGACACACUGAGAUAGGGAAUUCGGUUUGGGAGGGAAGAUGAUGAGCUCAGUUUGGGGCAUAAUGAGUUCCAUGCGUUAGCAGAACAUCUAGGCAGAAAUAGGAAACAAAACUAAAACGGAAAGACCAGCAUUUAGAGGGGAGUUCAGGAUUAGAAGUAUAGAUGAGCAGUCACUUUCAUGGAGUUGGACGUUGAGGUAAUGGGAUUGGAUGCAAGUUCCAAGGGAAAGCAUAUUACACUGUGGUUUUCAACCAGGGUGAUUUGGCAAUGUCUGGAGUCAUUUUUGGUUGACACGACCUGGGCAGGGGGAGCUACUGGCAUCUAGUAUGUUAAGGUCAGAGACCUUGCUGAACACCCUACAAUGCCCAGGAUAGCCCCCACAACAAAGAAUGAUUCAGUCCAGGAUGUCAAUAGUGUUGAGAUAGAAAACCCUGGUAUAAAGGGACAGAUCUUCGAAGAACACCUACAUUUAAGGGAGUAGCAAUAGAAGAGGCAUUGGGCCCCAC
Molecule: long non-coding RNA, 15178 nt
Organism: Loxodonta africana (African savanna elephant)
Lineage: Eukaryota; Metazoa; Chordata; Mammalia; Proboscidea; Elephantidae
Exons: 3
Source: RefSeq, a predicted model, not a curated record